This 1661-nucleotide long non-coding RNA is filed under the name Pectinophora gossypiella (pink bollworm). Its description in RNAcentral is "uncharacterized LOC126367286". The record is from RNAcentral. Lineage: Eukaryota; Metazoa; Arthropoda; Insecta; Lepidoptera; Gelechiidae.
AACACAACAUUGAAUUGAAACAAAAACAAAAGAUACACAAAAGAAAAGAAAGUCAAAACGUAAAAAAGAACAUAAAUAUAUUCAAAUUCAAGGUAUUUCAAAGCAAUAAUCAAAAAGAAAGAAAGAAUGUUUAGACAAUCAAAUAUCUCCAAAAGUUGCUAAAACAAAUUCAUAGAGGGGCUUAUAACAGUCCCUGUUUUUGAGAAGUUGCUGAAGGGAGAGCGGGAUUUCUUCAGCUGUACGAUAUAUGUUCAGGAGGCGGUCUAUGAGAAGCAAUCUGGGAAGAGUGAAACUACUGCAAUCAAAGAAAAGAUGUUGCAAAGUCUGAUCAGCAGAGUUACAGAAAUUACAAGCAGAAGCUGCCCAAGGGAACCAAAAUAUGAACUACUAAUUCUUGAGGAAGAAGACUGCAACUUCAGAAGCAAAGGAUGAUUUUUAAUAGAAGAAAUUUUCAAUAGAAACUUAAAGAUGAGAUAUUUGAACCUGCUUAACAAAGGAGACAACUGCAAUGAAGACAGAACAGUUGUUAAAAUAUCCAAAUUAACAUUAUUAAAAGCGCCAACAACAUCGAAGAAAAUACAACCCAAACUCUGAUCACGAGACAGAGCAUCACGGACAUCCAGACAAAAGUGACUCAGGCUUUCCCGCGCCGACCGUCCUCGACGAAAGCCAAAUUGAUUAGCUGGUUGGCGUGAGGCGGGAUGUUCGCCGAAGAGUCUGUAGCAACUGAAGGAGAAGAUGUAAAAUAAUACUUCGUCAAAGUGGGUAGAUGAUAGCUACCACCUAAGGGAUCUGACAUGACCUGCCAUUCACAUGACAAGGCCAGUGAUGAGGAAACCAAUGUUAAAUCAAGGCCAUUUGGCCGCCAACUAAGGGUACCUGUUGUCGUUGCACGUCCGUCAUUCAAGAGAACCAAUUCAUUCUCAUCCAUGGAGUCCAAGACGCUUCUGCCUCGUGUAUCAAUACUACCACACCCCCAAAUGGUGUGAUGUGCAUUGAAAUCGCCUGCAAUAAUCAACGGUUUUGGAAUACUCCGAAUCAAAUUGUCAAAUCUACCUUUAUUAAAGGUAGGAUUACAAUUACCUGGACUGUAAAAACUAGCGAUAGAUAUGUAUUUUUGAUCAAUUUGAACCUGAACUACAACGUUUUGUAGUGAGUCAUCAAAUAAAGUGUCUAAUUUACGAAAUACUAGACUUUUAUGUAUUAGAAUGGCUACUCCAUUGUGGUCAUUGCCGCAAUCAUUACGGACAGUGGAGUACCCUUUAAUAUUAAAAAUUGUACAAGAUUUAAACCAAGUUUCACUAAUAAUAGAUAUAUGUAUGUUAUUAUCAAAGACAAAUUUUUCAAAUUCAUGUCUAUUACUUAACAAACUCUGUGCGUUCCACUGCAUUAUAUUUAUUGUUUGGGCUGAGAAUUUGAAGGAUUUUUAUUUUUAUGCUGAAUAGUUUCUUUUAUUGUAUCUGUUAUCAUUUGAGAGCUAAUACUUGUGUUGUUUACUUUGUUUAAUGUAAUAACUUUUAUUAUAGAUUCUGUGAGCAAAGUUAAUGCGUUUUUAUUAGAUAGAAUUAAAUUUAUUAAUUCCCGACUAUUUUCUGUUUUGCUGAGUGAUGGAAAGUGUUUAUUUUUAUUGCUGAAUAAAUCUGAAAAAGGUGUCGGCAUAA